GGGCGGGUAGAUCAGCUCGGAAGAUCGCCUGCUUUGCAAGCAGGAAGCCCCGGGUUCAAAUCCCGGCCCGUCCA
Molecule: transfer RNA, 74 nt
Filed under: Methanomassiliicoccales archaeon
Lineage: Archaea; Methanobacteriati; Thermoplasmatota; Thermoplasmata; Methanomassiliicoccales
Also listed under: 1 other name
Description: tRNA-Ala
Rfam family: tRNA
About the family: Transfer RNA (tRNA) molecules are approximately 80 nucleotides in length. Their secondary structure includes four short double-helical elements and three loops (D, anti-codon, and T loops). Further hydrogen bonds mediate the characteristic L-shaped molecular structure. tRNAs have two regions of fundamental functional importance: the anti-codon, which is responsible for specific mRNA codon recognition, and the 3' end, to which the tRNAs corresponding amino acid is attached (by aminoacyl-tRNA synthetases). tRNAs cope with the degeneracy of the genetic code in two manners: having more than one tRNA (with a specific anti-codon) for a particular amino acid; and 'wobble' base-pairing, i.e. permitting non-standard base-pairing at the 3rd anti-codon position.
Source: RNAcentral